AUGGAAGAAAAUUCAAGUUUUACUAUGAUUCUAUUAAUUGUUCACAGGCCAGAAACCCACCUGCGGGAAGUAGAAAGUUUCAAUGCUGUUUUUUGUUUUGUUUUGUUUUGUUUUGUUUUCCACAGACAAAACUCACAGGAAAAAAAAAAAAAAGCUUCUGUAUAUUUUUCCUGCUGGGUGGUCAGAAGGAAAGGCCACGAAGCCAAAGGCCUCCCAUUGAGACAGUGCUCUACGGAAAGCCGACCUCACGUGCAGCAGCCGCAGGAGAUGAGAGCACCUGUCGGGUCUCCGCCACUCCUUGGACCUCUCCUUUCCAAGUGCACCUGUUGAGAUCUGCCCAUCGCCGAAGGUCAUACUUGAGUACCACCACAUCUGUGAGUCUUUUCAGAUUAAGCUUUCCUAAAACUUUGUGUCCUUCUUAUGAUAUUUAACAUAUUUAUCUUGGAAUUGUUUUCUCUGUACCCAUGUACAGAGGCCUGGAGCCUUGAUUAGAGUAAGUAUUCUGAGAUAUGUAUGGGACAGAACUCAGCACCAGUUAUGUACCAAGCCCUCUGGCAGAUUCAGGGGAUACUGGAAGAGUGACUUUCUGAGGGUGAUACAAGAGAAAGUAUGAAGAAUUACUCUGUAAACCCAGAAGUAGUACAUGCAUUUGAAUAGUAUAAAAAUGAUGAUGAUGAAGAUGGUGUUGAUGAUGGUGAAUGUGCAGGAUAUUUGCUUUCCCUCUCUGAGUCUACUCUCCACUUUUGUCAUCCCAUUCUGUCCACUGGGAAGUUGAUCCCUAUGGAUUUCAUCAGCCAGACUCCCUUGCCUUUUGGUCUUCUCUUGCAUUUGGCCAAUAGGAACUAUGAAUAGAAAAUCAGAGUGAGAGGAGAGUUUGGGGGGCAUUUAUUCCAUCAGCUGUCUUUGCUGGGCUUCAGUCUGACAGUGGUUGCAUUCUAGGGGUCAAAGACCCUUUCAGCUAGUUCCCCCACUUGUAAUUAGAGCUCCUGUUGGACUAGUCCCCCUACCCUGUAGUUAGAGCUCCUGCUGGACUCUAGUCACAACUCCCCACCUGGCCUCUUGAGGCCUAGGAUGGUAGUGUCUCCUCAUUGUUGUCAGACCUAGGUGUGUCACUAAUAAGUUUGCUUAAUCCUACCCUAACCACCUUUAAAAACUCUCCAUGAUCCUCUUUUCAGUGAGGCAUUUGUGUUUCUUGCCAGGACCCUGACUCAUGAUAACUGAUGAGGAUGGCAGUAGUAAUAGUGGUUUUGGUGUUUUUCUUUUCUCCAAGCUGGUGGUCUGAGAAUCCUGAUGAACAACUGCUUGCAGAGAAGCUGGGGAAUUAUGGCAGAGACUAGCAGGGUGUUCACUGUGUUGCUUCACAGGUUACUUUUAAACUUGGUGGCUUAAAGCGAUAACAAUGAUUUUUUUUUUACAUUUAAUAAUUUAAAAAAAAAUUUAUAAACAGAUAAUGUAUCAUUAGCCCCAGGGGUACGUAUGUGAAUUGCCAGGUUUACACACUUCAUAGCACUCACCAUAGCACAUGCCCUUCCCAGUGUCCAUAACCCACCACCCUCUCCCUACCCUCCCAACCCCCAGCAAUCCUCAGUUUGUUUUGUGAGAUUAAGAGUCUCUUAUGGUUUGUCUCCCCCCAUCCCAUCUUCUUUCAUUUACUCUUUUUCUACCCCCCAAACCCCCACAUUGUGUCUCCACCUCCUCAUAUCAGGGAGAUCAUAUGAUAGUUGUCUUUCUCCAAUUGACUUAUUUCGCUAAGCAUAAUACCCUCUAGUUCCAUCCACGUUGCAAAUGGCAAGAUUUCAUUUCUUUUGAUGGCUGCAUAGUAUUCCAUUGUGUAUAUAUACACCACAUCUUCUGUAUCCAUUCAUCUGCUGUUGGACAUCUAGGUUUUUUCCAUAGUUUGGCUAUUGUAGACAUUGCUGCUAUAAACAUUCGGGUGCAUGUGCCCCUUCGGAUCACUACGUUGCAAUGACAAUGAUUUAUUAUUUCUUAUAAUUUUUGUGGGUCUUUAAUUUACCUAGUUACUGUAGGAUGGUUUAUUUCCACCUUAUUAUGUCUAAGGCCUGCUCUAGAAGCCUGAAGUCUCACUCACUUAUAGGUCUGGCAGCUGCUCCUGGUUCUCAGCUUGGGAAUCAUUUGGGGCAAUCAGCUGGAGCAUACACAUGUAUCAUAUCCACGUGGCUUGGGCUUCCUCACAACAUGGUGGCUGAAGUCCAAGCAUUCACAUUAAGAGAGAGAGAAUGAACCAAGCCAAAGCCAUAUUGCCCUUUACAACCCAGCCUUGGAAGUCCUACAAUGUCACUUCUACCAGGUUUCAGUAGUAGAAGUAGUUAGAAGUGUCCACCCAGUUUCAAGGGGGAGGACACAUAACCCCAUCUCUCAGUGGAGAAAUGUCAACCUCUGUGAUUGAUUGUUGAUUGUACCAUGUGGACUGAAGUGAUGUAAGCAACUUCUGGACCUACACAUACAUAUUCAUAUGCCACCCACUUUUUCUUCCUAUGCCGUGACAGCUAUGCAGGAUACAUCUUGAAGAUGACACAAAAGUCAAGGACAACCUAACCCAUAUCAACCUUUGUAAGUGAUAACUAAACAUUCAGUAUGUUAACUCUCUGAGGUUUGGUGUUUGCUCCAACAAUUUUAUCCAUAUCCUCAAACUUCAUCUGAGCCACUAGUUUCUUCUUCCUGUCUCAUCAGCAUCUAUCAGGACUACACAUCUAUGAUGAAAGCAAGGAACUGGGGUUAGUUUCUUCUUCCUUGUUAUGUGUGUACCUCUCCCCACUCCAAGUUGUAUUGUGCAGUAAAAUGACUGGGAAGAAGAAGAAGGUCAUGGACUGCCUAAAUCACUGAAAACAGGAUCACUGACUGUGUCCAAAAAGGUCUUAGCCAAGCCAAACAGUGGAAAAGGUGAAAUGUUAACAUGAAUGCAGUAAAUAUUCAGUCCUUCUUUGGAGAAUCUUGAGGAAAAAGGAGAGAGUUGUGUUGGAAAUGACUGACAGGUGGAUGUCUGCAGGGGCCCACCACACCGUAGAAGACUGUCUGGAGGAGAAGGUGUGUCUGAUGUCCUUCCCAAUAAAAAGCCUGGGAAAAAACAUCUGUCAAGUGAUAUUUAGAACUGACAUUUUCAUAAGGAUCCAGUCUAUGGAGGGUUUUUGCAGGGCUUGGAAAAACACAUUUUUCAUUCUUCCUCCUCUCCAUCUCCUGUAAUUAAAUGAUGUUCACAGUGUUAAAUGUAUAUUUAAAAUGACAUGCUUCAAGGAUUACAUUUUAAGAAGCUUUCUAUUUGGAAACAAUUUUGACAAUAAUAAUGAUCAUUUCAAAAAGUAAUAUUUAUUUCCUGAGCUCUUUGAGAGUAAGGUAGAUGCACACAUCAUGGCUCUUUACUCCUAACUAUUUCCUAUUUCCUUCUAAAUGUACUCCAAGCUGGGGUCUGAGACACAGAGUGAUGCCCAAUUUAUGACACUAAGCUUUGGGAAAUGGAAGUCCAGGUUCUGCCUUUAUUUUCCAGCAAUUAGGAUAUUCCUGGAGAGAAAUGUUGGCUGAAAGAUGCCCAUAUGGAGAGACAUCUGCUCUCUUGCCACAGGUGCUGCCUUGUCUAAUAUUUUCAUGUUCUGCUUGGGUGAUGAAAUAGAAGGGAUGUUUGCUGCCCCACCCCCCACCCCAUUCAGGGAUACUGAUUGGGAAUGGGUGGCUAACAUAGUUUCUGGGUCAGAAAAGAUCUUGAUAAACUGGACCUUUACCAAAUUAAAUAUAAAAUAUAUGUUAUAGGGGCACCUGGGUGGCUCAGGCAGUUAAACAUCUGCCUUCCACUUGGGUCAUGACCUUAGGGUCCUGGGAUGUAGUCCUAGUUAGACUCCCUGCUCAACUCAGCAGGGAGUCUGCUUUUUCCUCUCCCUCUGUGCUCUCUCUCAAGUAAAUAAAUAAAAUCUUAAAAAAAUAAAGUAUACAUUGUAUAAGCAUAAAAUUUCUAUUGUAUUACUUCCUAGGUUCUAAGAGACUUUUCUCUACCUUUUAUUGUUUCUAAACUUUAGGUGGCCCCUAAAAUCUAUGUCAAAGGCAGGUAGCUGUGUAAUAGUUAAGGGGAUUGUAAACAGAAAGCCUACCUGUAUGCAGAUGAAGGUCCAACUAAUUGCCCCCUGGGUUUUCUCCACCAUUGGCUGCUCUAUACAGGAAUAAAUUUUCUUCGAGAUAUAAUUUACAUACACUGAAGUCUAUCUUUCUUAUUGUAUGAUUCUAGGAGUUUCAACAAAUACACAGUCAUGUAACUGAUAACAAAAUCAAUGUACGGAACAGUUCAAAUUUGAAUAUAAGCAUAUUGGUAUCUCGUGAUGGUUUAUAUUUGUAUUUAUUUAGUGACAAAUGAUGUUGGGCAUCUUGCCAAAUGCUGAUUUGUCCAUAAAUCAUCUUCUUUGGUGAAAUGUGGGCUCAGGUAUUUUUAAUUUAUUUUUUUUCUUUUUAUUAUAUUUGAUUUUUUUUUAACGUAUUCUGAGUAAGUUCUUUAUGUGUUUUGGAAAUAUUGUCCCUCAAUUUGUGGCUUCUCUUCAUUUUCUUAACAGUACCUUUUAAAAACAAUUUUCAUUUUGGUUAAGUCCACUUUAUCAAUUUUUUUUCUUUCAUGUGUUGUAUUUUUGGUGUCAUAAGUAAGAAAUACAUGUCUAAUCCAAGGUGGCAAUGAUUUUCUGCUGUGUUUUUCUCUAGAACUGUUAUAAUUUUACAUUUAGGUCCAUAAUCCAUGAGGUAUGGAUUGAAGUGUACAUUUGCCUUGGUGACUUUUCUGUGUGUUUGAUUUUUUUCAAAGAUUAUAUUGAGACUGUAUUACAAUAUCUUGUCUGUUGGUGCCAGCCUGAUUGUGGUUCACAUUUAUGGAUAGUAUUUCCAAGGUGUGCUUCUAGGAGAUUUAAGUGAAUUUCAAACUCUGUAGCAAUUCAAGUGCGGAAUGGAAGAGAAGUCUAAAGCUCAGAUCCCAUGUUCAAGACUCUGCACACUCUAAAGCACUUCUAAGGACUUUUGAGGCUCUUCUGAGCAGUUUGAAAGCAUCAAAAAUGUGAUCACUUCGAUCAGGUCAUGAUCUCAAGGUCCUGGGAUUGAAUCCCACAUCAGGCUCUCUGCUCAGCUGAGUCUGCUUCUCCUGUACCCCCUGCUUGUACUCCUUCUCUCUGUGUCAAAUAAAUAAAAUCUUUAAAAAUAUUAUUUUUUAUAUAGUCUGCUUCUCCUGCUCCCCCUGCUUGUACUCUCUCUCUCUCUCUGUAUCAAAUAAAUAAAAGAUUUUUAAAAAUAUUGUAAAUUAUAAUCAUAAAUAUUAUAAUCUAAAUUUAUC
This 5311-nucleotide long non-coding RNA is filed under the name Mustela putorius furo (domestic ferret). Its description in RNAcentral is "lncRNA (ENSMPUG00000030406.1)". Lineage: Eukaryota; Metazoa; Chordata; Mammalia; Carnivora; Mustelidae. The record is from RNAcentral.